CUGGCAGAGAGCGUGCGGUGCGCACGAGA
RNAcentral lists this small RNA (29 nucleotides) under Bombyx mori (domestic silkworm). RNAcentral's name for it is "ovarian small RNA-14942". Lineage: Eukaryota; Metazoa; Arthropoda; Insecta; Lepidoptera; Bombycidae. The record is from RNAcentral.